RNAcentral lists this ribosomal RNA (2283 nucleotides) under synthetic metagenome. RNAcentral describes it as "bacterial LSU rRNA". It matches the Rfam family "Bacterial large subunit ribosomal RNA", at positions 14 to 2312 of the family's 2925-position model. The record is from RNAcentral.
AGGGCGCAUGGUGAAUGCCUUGGCAUCAGGAGCCGAUGAAGGACGCGAUAAGCUGCGAUAAGCUUCGGGUAGACGCACAUAGUCAGAGAUCCGAAGAUUUCCGAAUGAGGAAACUCACAUGGGAAACCCCAUGUAUCAUAAAGUGAAUACAUAGCUUUAUGAAGGUAUACCCAGGGAACUGAAACAUCUAAGUACCUGGAGGAAGAGAAAGAAAAAUCGAUUUUCUUAGUAGCGGCGAGCGAAAAGGAAAGAGCCCAAACCAGAGAUUUAUCUCUGGGGUUGCGGACAGAACAUAACGAGAAAUCAUAGUUAAUUGAACACAACUGGAAAGUUGGACCACAGUGGGUAAUAGUCCCGUAAGUGAAAACUAUGAUAAUCAGUUCUGCACCAGAGUACCACGAGACACGUGAAACCUUGUGGGAAGCAGGGAGGACCACCUCCCAAGGCUAAAUACUACCUGAUGACCGAUAGUGAAGCAGUACCGUGAGGGAAAGGUGAAAAGAACCCCGGGAGGGGAGUGAAAUAGAACCUGAAACCAUGUGCCUACAACCGAUCAGAGCACCUUAUGUGUGUGAUGAUGUGCUUUUUGUAGAACGAGCCAACGAGUUACGGUAUGUAGCGAGGUUAAGUACUUAAGGUACGGAGCCGAAGGGAAACCGAGUCUUAAUAGGGCGACUAGUUGCAUGCUGUAGACCCGAAACCGGGUGACCUAUCCAUGGCCAGGUUGAAGCGAGGGUAAAACCUCGUGGAGGACCGAACCACGUUGCUGUUGAAAAAGCAUGGGAUGAGCUGUGGAUAGCGGAGAAAUUCCAAUCGAACUCGGAUAUAGCUGGUUCUCCUCGAAAUAGCUUUAGGGCUAGCGUCGGAAAAUGUGAGUAGUGGAGGUAGAGCACUGAAUAGGCUAGGGGGCAUAGCGCUUACCGAACCUUAUCAAACUCCGAAUGCCACAUACUAUCAGUCCGGCAGUCAGACUAUGAAAGAUAAGUUCCAUGGUCAAAAGGGAAACAGCCCAGAUCGUCAGCUAAGGUCCCAAAGUGUAAGUUAAGUGGAAAAGGAUGUGGGAUUUCUAAGACAACUAGGAUGUUGGCUUAGAAGCAGCCACUCAUUAAAAGAGUGCGUAAUAGCUCACUAGUCAAGAGAUCCUGCGCCGAAAAUGUCCGGGGCUCAAACUUACCACCGAAGCUACGGGUUCACGUUUAACGUGAGCGGUAGAGGAGCGUCGUAAUCGGGCUGAAGUCGUACCGUAAGGAGCGGUGGACUGAUUACGAGUGAGAAUGUUGGCAUUAGUAGCGAGAUGUAGGCGAGAAUCCUACAGGCCGAAUAUCUAAGGUUUCCUGAGUAAAGUUUGUCUUCUCAGGGUUAGUCGGGACCUAAGGCGAGGCCGAAAGGCGUAGUCGAUGGACAAUUGGUUGAUAUUCCAAUACCACUAUAAUCGUUAUUAUCGAUGGUGUGACGGAGAAGGAUAGGAUGUGCUAGCUAUUGGAUGCUAGUCUAAGCGUUUAGGGAGUUGGGAUUGGCAAAUCCGUUCCAACAAUUCUGAGGCGUGAUGGGGAAGGUUCUACGGAACCGAAGUAUCUGAUUCCAUGCUUCCAAGAAAAGCAUCUAGAGAGAGAAGUAGUGCCCGUACCGCAAACCGACACAGGUAGAUGAGGAGAGAAUCCUAAGGCCGACGGAAGAAUUGCAGUUAAGGAACUAGGCAAAUUGACCCCGUAACUUCGGGAGAAGGGGUGCCUGAGAAAUCAGGCCGCAGAGAAUAGGCACAAGCAACUGUUUAACAAAAACACAGGUCUCUGCUAAAGCGAAAGCUGAUGUAUAGGGGCUGACGCCUGCCCGGUGCUGGAAGGUUAAGGGGAACACUUAGUGGUAACGCGAAGGUGUGAACUUAAGCCCCAGUAAACGGCGGCCGUAACUAUAACGGUCCUAAGGUAGCGAAAUUCCUUGUCAGGUAAGUUCUGACCCGCACGAAUGGCGUAAUGACUUGUGCACUGUCUCAACUGCAAAUCCGGCGAAGUUGUAGUGCGAGUGAAGAUGCUCGCUACCCGCGAUUGGACGGAAAGACCCCGUAGAGCUUUACUGUAGCUUAGCAUUGAAUUUCGGUAUUGUCUGUACAGGAUAGGUGGGAGACUGGGAAACUAGGGCGUCAGCCUUGGUGGAGUCGUUGUUGGGAUACCACCCUGAUAGUAUUGAAGUUCUAACUGGAUGCCAUGAAACUGGUGACAGGACAUUGUUAGGUGGGCAGUUUGACUGGGGCGGUCGCCUCCUAAAAUGUAACGGAGGCGCCCA